Molecule: ribosomal RNA, 387 nt
Filed under: uncultured bacterium
Lineage: Bacteria
Description: bacterial SSU rRNA
Rfam family: Bacterial small subunit ribosomal RNA
Source: RNAcentral
GAUGAACGCUAGCGGCAGGCCUAAUACAUGCAAGUCGAGGGGCAGCGCGGUAGCAAUACUGGCGGCGACCGGCGCACGGGUGCGUAACACGUAUGCAACCUACCUUCAACUGGAGGAUCGCCCGGGGAAACUCGGAUUAAUACUCCAUAACACAGGGAUCCCGCAUGGGAAUAUUGUUAAAGCUACGGCGGUUGAAGAUGGGCAUGCGUUCGAUUAGCUAGUUGGUGUAGGUAACGGCUCACCAAGGCUACGAUCGAUAGGGGGUCUGAGAGGAUGAUCCCCCACACUGGUGCUGAGAUACGGACCAGACUCCUACAGGAGGCAGCAGUAGGGAAUAUUGGUCAAUGGGCGCAAGCCUGACCAGCCAUGCCGCGUGCAGGAAGAAGG